Molecule: ribosomal RNA, 485 nt
Filed under: uncultured archaeon
Lineage: Archaea
Description: bacterial SSU rRNA
Rfam family: Archaeal small subunit ribosomal RNA
Source: RNAcentral
GUGCCGUUGGUCUUUUGAUCGACGGCUUUUCGGGAGUCUAAGAAGCUCCCGGAAUAAGGGCUGGGCAAGUCGGGUGCCAGCCGCCGCGGUAAUACCCGCAGCCCAAGUGGUGGUCGCGAUUAUUGGGCCUAAAGCGCUCGUAGCCGGGCUAGCAAGUCCCUUGUGAAAUCGGACGGCCCAACCGUUCGGCGUGCAAGGGAUACUGCUGGUCUUGAGGCCGAUAGACGUCUGAGGUACUCCGGGGGUAACGGUGAAAUGUUGUAAUCCUCGGGGGACCACCAGUGGCGAAGGCGUCAGACGAGAGCGGACCUGACGGUGAGGGGCGAAGGCUAGGGGAGCGAACGGGAUUAGAUACCCCGGUAGUCCUAGCUGUAAAGCAUGCGGGCCAGGUGUCUGGUGUUCCUCGAGAGCACCAGGUGCCGGAGGGAAGCCGUUAAGCCCGCCGCCUGGGAAGUACGGUCGCAAGGCUGAAACUUAAAGGAAUU